This 306-nucleotide signal recognition particle RNA is filed under the name Jaculus jaculus (lesser Egyptian jerboa). RNAcentral describes it as "Metazoan signal recognition particle RNA (ENSJJAG00000006486.1)". It matches the Rfam family "Metazoan signal recognition particle RNA". Rfam says of the family: The signal recognition particle (SRP) is a universally conserved ribonucleoprotein. It is involved in the co-translational targeting of proteins to membranes. The record is from RNAcentral. Lineage: Eukaryota; Metazoa; Chordata; Mammalia; Rodentia; Dipodidae.
GCCAGGCAUGGGCAUGGUGGUGUGUGCCUGUCAUCCCAACUACUCAGGAGGCUGAGGCAAGAGGAUCCCUUGAAUCCAGGAGUCCUGGGCUAUAGGGCGCUAUGCCAAUUGGGUGUGUGCACUAAGUUCAGCAUCAAUAUGGUGACCUCCCAGGAACAGGGGACCACUAGGUUGCCUAAAGAGGGGUGAACCUGCCCAGAUCAAGAUGGAACCGGUCAAAAAACUCCCAUGCUAAUCAAUAGCAGGACAGCACCUGUGAAUAACCACUGCACUCCAGCCUGGGCAGCAGAGCAAAACCCCAUCUCU